Molecule: ribosomal RNA, 471 nt
Filed under: Centipeda noxia
Lineage: Bacteria; Bacillati; Bacillota; Negativicutes; Selenomonadales; Selenomonadaceae
Description: bacterial SSU rRNA
Rfam family: Bacterial small subunit ribosomal RNA
Source: RNAcentral
GACGAACGCUGGCGGCGUGCUUAACACAUGCAAGUCGAACGGAGCGAAUGAAAGCUUGCUUUUAUAAGCUUAGUGGCAAACGGGUGAGUAACACGUAGGCAACCUGCCGACAGGAUGGGGACAACAUUCCGAAAGGAAUGCUAAUACCGAAUGAAGUCGAGGGAGGGCAUCCUCCUCCGAUGAAAGAUGGCCUCUAUAUAUAAGCUAUCACCUGUCGAUGGGCCUGCGUCUGAUUAGCUGGUAGGUGAGGUAACGGCUCACCUAGGCGACGAUCAGUAGCCGGUCUGAGAGGAUGAACGGCCACAUUGGGACUGAGACACGGCCCAGACUCCUACGGGAGGCAGCAGUGGGGAAUCUUCCGCAAUGGGCGCAAGCCUGACGGAGCAACGCCGCGUGAGUGAAGAAGGUCUUCGGAUCGUAAAGCUCUGUUGAUGGGGACGAACGUGCCUAAUGCGAAUAGUAUAGGUAAAG